RNAcentral lists this ribosomal RNA (253 nucleotides) under uncultured bacterium. Its description in RNAcentral is "partial 16S ribosomal RNA". It matches the Rfam family "Bacterial small subunit ribosomal RNA", at positions 524 to 776 of the family's 1533-position model. The record is from RNAcentral.
UACAGAGGUCUCAAGCGUUGUUCGGAUUCAUUGGGCGUAAAGCGCGCGUAGGCGGCCCGGUAAGUCGGAUGUGAAAUCUCACGGCUCAACCGUGGAACUGCAUUCGAAACUGUCGGGCUAGAGGCAGGUAGGGGAGAUCGGAAUUCCCGGUGUAGCGGUGAAAUGCGCAGAUAUCGGGAGGAACACCGGUGGCGAAGGCGGAUCUCUGGGCCUGUCCUGACGCUCAGGCGCGAAAGCUAGGGGAGCGAACAGG